RNAcentral lists this ribosomal RNA (1008 nucleotides) under Vreelandella venusta. Its description in RNAcentral is "bacterial SSU rRNA". It matches the Rfam family "Bacterial small subunit ribosomal RNA", at positions 94 to 1101 of the family's 1533-position model. Lineage: Bacteria; Pseudomonadati; Pseudomonadota; Gammaproteobacteria; Oceanospirillales; Halomonadaceae. The record is from RNAcentral.
AGCGGCGGACGGGUGAGUAAUGCAUAGGAAUCUGCCCGAUAGUGGGGGAUAACCUGGGGAAACCCAGGCUAAUACCGCAUACGUCCUACGGGAGAAAGGGGGCUCCGGCUCCCGCUAUUGGAUGAGCCUAUGUCGGAUUAGCUAGUUGGUGAGGUAAAGGCUCACCAAGGCGACGAUCCGUAGCUGGUCUGAGAGGAUGAUCAGCCACAUCGGGACUGAGACACGGCCCGAACUCCUACGGGAGGCAGCAGUGGGGAAUAUUGGACAAUGGGCGAAAGCCUGAUCCAGCCAUGCCGCGUGUGUGAAGAAGGCCCUCGGGUUGUAAAGCACUUUCAGCGAGGAAGAACGCCUAGUGGUUAAUACCCAUUAGGAAAGACAUCACUCGCAGAAGAAGCACCGGCUAACUCCGUGCCAGCAGCCGCGGUAAUACGGAGGGUGCAAGCGUUAAUCGGAAUUACUGGGCGUAAAGCGCGCGUAGGUGGCUUGAUAAGCCGGUUGUGAAAGCCCCGGGCUCAACCUGGGAACGGCAUCCGGAACUGUCAAGCUAGAGUGCAGGAGAGGAAGGUAGAAUUCCCGGUGUAGCGGUGAAAUGCGUAGAGAUCGGGAGGAAUACCAGUGGCGAAGGCGGCCUUCUGGACUGACACUGACACUGAGGUGCGAAAGCGUGGGUAGCAAACAGGAUUAGAUACCCUGGUAGUCCACGCCGUAAACGAUGUCGACCAGCCGUUGGGUGCCUAGCGCACUUUGUGGCGAAGUUAACGCGAUAAGUCGACCGCCUGGGGAGUACGGCCGCAAGGUUAAAACUCAAAUGAAUUGACGGGGGCCCGCACAAGCGGUGGAACCAUGUGGUUUAAAUUCGAUGCAACGCGAAGAACCUUACCUACUCUUGACAUCCUGCGAACUUGUGAGAGAUCACUUGGUGCCUUCGGGAACGCAAAGACAGGUGCUGCAUGGCUGUCGUCAGCUCGUGUUGUGAAAUGUUUGGGUUAAGUCCCGUAACGAGCGCAA